Molecule: ribosomal RNA, 1443 nt
Filed under: uncultured organism
Description: SSU rRNA
Rfam family: Bacterial small subunit ribosomal RNA
Source: RNAcentral
GGCUUAACACAUGCAAGUCGAGGGGCAGCAUGGUCUUAGCUUGCUAAGACUGAUGGCGACCGGCGCACGGGUGAGUAACACGUAUCCAACCUGCCGUCUACUCUUGGACAGCCUUCUGAAAGGAAGAUUAAUACAAGAUGGCAUCAUGAGUCCGCAUGUUCACAUGAUUAAAGGUAUUCCGGUGGACGAUGGGGAUGCGUUCCAUUAGAUAGUAGGCGGGGUAACGGCCCACCUAGUCUUCGAUGGAUAGGGGUUCUGAGAGGAAGGUCCCCCACAUUGGAACUGAGACACGGUCCAAACUCCUACGGGAGGCAGCAGUGAGGAAUAUUGGUCAAUGGGCGAGAGCCUGAACCAGCCAAGUAGCGUGAAGGAUGACUGCCCUAUGGGUUGUAAACUUCUUUUAUAAAGGAAUAAAGUCGGGUAUGGAUACCCGUUUGCAUGUACUUUAUGAAUAAGGAUCGGCUAACUCCGUGCCAGCAGCCGCGGUAAUACGGAGGAUCCGAGCGUUAUCCGGAUUUAUUGGGUUUAAAGGGAGCGUAGAUGGAUGUUUAAGUCAGUUGUGAAAGUUUGCGGCUCAACCGUAAAAUUGCAGUUGAUACUGGAUAUCUUGAGUGCAGUUGAGGCAGGCGGAAUUCGUGGUGUAGCGGUGAAAUGCUUAGAUAUCACGAAGAACUCCGAUUGCGAAGGCAGCCUGCUAAGCUGCAACUGACAUUGAGGCUCGAAAGUGUGGGUAUCAAACAGGAUUAGAUACCCUGGUAGUCCACACGGUAAACGAUGAAUACUCGCUGUUUGCGAUAUACUGCAAGCGGCCAAGCGAAAGCGUUAAGUAUUCCACCUGGGGAGUACGCCGGCAACGGUGAAACUCAAAGGAAUUGACGGGGGCCCGCACAAGCGGAGGAACAUGUGGUUUAAUUCGAUGAUACGCGAGGAACCUUACCCGGGCUUAAAUUGCAGAUGAAUUACGGUGAAAGCCGUAAGCCGCAAGGCAUCUGUGAAGGUGCUGCAUGGUUGUCGUCAGCUCGUGCCGUGAGGUGUCGGCUUAAGUGCCAUAACGAGCGCAACCCUUGUUGUCAGUUACUAACAGGUUCCGCUGAGGACUCUGACAAGACUGCCAUCGUAAGAUGUGAGGAAGGUGGGGAUGACGUCAAAUCAGCACGGCCCUUACGUCCGGGGCUACACACGUGUUACAAUGGGGGGUACAGAGGGCCGCUACCACGCGAGUGGAUGCCAAUCCCCAAAACCUCUCUCAGUUCGGACUGGAGUCUGCAACCCGACUCCACGAAGCUGGAUUCGCUAGUAAUCGCGCAUCAGCCACGGCGCGGUGAAUACGUUCCCGGGCCUUGUACACACCGCCCGUCAAGCCAUGGGAGCCGGGGGUACCUGAAGUGCGUAACCGCGAGGAGCGCCCUAGGGUAAAACUGGUGACUGGGGCUAAGUCAUAAC